UUUGAUUUGGUCACCUUAUGCCUUAACCAGCAGAAUUUAGCGAAGCCCCAAACUACAAUGGAAACAGAGGACAUGAGGGGGUGGUAAAACCAACACCAUUGCCACCACUCCACCGCUCCACAGCAACAGCCAUCGCCACCGCUAACUCUACCAAACCCUCACUCCUCCAUCAAAAUCCCUAAUUCCGAUGGUGUCAGUGAACAAGCUGUCUCUUUCGCAAACAUCAUCUUCGCUUCCAAUGCCGUCGUUUUUCUCAUCUUCACAUUCUUCAUCACUUUUUUCCUCUAGAAUGUCUAUGGCUUCCAAUGAUUCUCGCCCUAAAAUUUUCUCCCAAAACAGCGUUGUAAGCUUAUAAUGGUUUCUCAUAAGCACACACUUAUAUAAUAUGUACAUAUGCUCUGUUUGGUUUGAUGUUUAGCUUGAGAGAUGUGAUAUGGCUGAACCUGUAAAUGUUGGGAAUGGAAAGCCCAGUAUUCCAAUCCUUAAUGAACGGACUCUACCCAAGUUCCUGGAAUCUGCACGCAUUGAGAAAAAAAAUUAACAAAAAUAGUAGCAGGCUGAAAUUGUUUUCUGGGUCAGCAAAUCCUGCUCUUUCUCAGGAUAUUGCUUGGUAUAUGGGCCUGGAACUGGGAAAGAUCAACAUAAAACGGUUUGCUGAUGGUGAAAUUUAUGUUCAAUUGCAAGAGAGUGUUAGAGGAUGUGAUGUAUAUCUAUUACAGCCCACCUGCCCUCCAGCAAAUGAGAAUCUCAUGGAGCUUUUGAUCAUGAUAGAUGCUUGUAGGAGAGCUUCAGCCAAGAACAUCACUGCUGUGAUUCCCUAUUUUGGAUAUGCCAGAGCUGAUAGAAAGGCAAGUUUUAUGGCUUGAGAUAUUUCAAGAUCAUAAGUUGCAAACAUAUAUAUGGAAAAUUAGCAUAUGUUUGGUCAUGGAAACCAACUUCUUGUUGGGUUUCUGUGUUUAAGAUUAUUAAUUGGCAUGAUAAGCAGCUACUUAAAUAUAUUUUUCUUUCUUUCUUUUCUGGAAAAAGAGAAUAGGUUCCAAGGUAUCUGGAUAUGGAAGGAAAUCAUUAGUUUUGGGAGGGUUUAACUCCGUUUUCAUCUUUAUGCUUUACUCAUUAGAGUUUUGAUGAAGUUGAUUAUAUACAACCUUUUGUAUGAUAAGGAGUGUAUUUUUUUUUAGUGCAUUUUAAGGAAUGACCUCCCUAAAUAUACACAGAUUGGAUCGUGAUUUUUUUUUUGAGAUACUAAAAACAUUAUGUACUCUUUGUCAGUAGACUUUCUUAUAAUUGCAGAGUCAAGGUCGUGAAUCAAUUGCAGCCAAACUUGUUGCAAACCUUAUCACCAAAGCAGGAGCAAAUCGCGUUCUUGCUUGUGAUAUUCAUUCUGGGCAGUCUAUGGGUUAUUUUGAUAUCCCUGUUGACCAUUUGUACUGUCAGCCUGUGAUUCUUGAUUAUCUUGCAAGCAAGACAGUUUGUUCCAAUGAUUUGGUGGUGGUUUCUCCUGAUGUUGGUGGAGUUGCAAGAGCUCGUGCUUUUGCAAAAAAGUUGUCUGAUGCCCCUUUAGCUAUUGUGGACAAAAGGCGUCAGGGACACAAUGUUGCUGAGGUGAUGAACCUUAUUGGUGAUGUAAAAGGAAAGGUUGCAGUUAUUGUGGAUGACAUGAUUGACACUGCUGGGACAAUUGCAAAAGGAGCAGCCCUCUUACAUCAAGAAGGAGCCAGGGAAGUCUAUGCAUGCUGCACUCAUGCUGUUUUUAGGUAUUCAUUUUACAACAUUUUAUUUUGCUUUUUUGGUUGUCUAUAUAAUCUAUUUCAAGUUUUCCCAUUUAUAUUUUUCAGCAACUUGGAGAAUAUUGAAUUUAACACUAUUAGAACUCUCACCAUUUUAUCAGCAAAUUUCUUAUUUUGUUUUUUAGAUCAAAAUUUUAGUACAUAUGGUGGUGCAAACUUUGUUAAUCAAAUGUUAAUGGCAACUGUUGUCUUUCUGUUUUUAUUCUCCCCAAAAAUAUUUUCAUUGUAAGUAUCAAUUUUUAAGAAAGCUUCCAUUUUUUUCUUAUGUCAAUGUUUUUAAAGUUUGCUAGAGUCGCAUUGUAUUGUUGUGAAAAUGAAUAUUUUAGCGCCUCUGUUCACCAGUACAUUGUUAAAAAUUUCAAAUGUUUGUUUUGGUUUACUUGCCUUGUGUAAUUGUAUGGCAGUGAAUGUACUAAUGCAAUAUGUGAUUAUAGUAUUUGUGAGUGUCUCAUUCAUAUUAUUUAACCCUUUUUUUCCCUCUUGGUAGCCCUCCAGCCAUUGAGAGGCUGUCAAGUGGCCUAUUUCAAGAAGUGAUAAUUACAAACACAAUUCCAGUGGCUGAGAAGAACUAUUUCCCUCAAUUGACUGUUCUAUCAGUAGCUAAUCUAUUGGGCGAAACAAUUUGGCGUGUUCAUGAUGAUUGCUCUGUGAGUAGCAUUUUUCAAUGAAUAACUUAGGAAUGUCCAAUGGCGAUACCACUCAACUCAACUAAGCCUUAGUUCAAAACUGAUCAAAGCUGGUUUCCUCCAUUCAACUCUGAUUAUGUUCAAAUUUACUAUUAGCCAUUACUAUCCAAUGAUGUGGGUCCUUCUAAUUUAUUCAUGGAUAUCGCUGCAAAGGUGGCUUCAAAACUAUACAAGGACAAGAAAAUCGUUUAUCGGUUUCUAAUACAUUCCCUUUUAAACAUCUUUUCAUAAAUUGAUAAUUGUCCAACAUAUUAUUAUUGUUUCCUGUACGAAGGCUAGAUCAGAUGAUUAUUCAUCUGCUUCUACAUUGUGUCAUGAAUUGAUCCUUAAGUUAGCUUGCUCAACUGCUGAUGUUUCAGUACUUUUGAUGUGGUAAAAUGUCAUUUGCUUUCUACAUGAACCUCUGAACAAUUAUGUUUUAAUAAGUUAUUAUUAGUAACGGGAAAGUUUUAGCUGAUGAUUUUUCCCUUCAUGUUUUUAGCCAAUUGAACAAAGGUAGUAGGGCUGUGUAUGGUUUUUUUGGGAGAACUGAACUGAACUGAAGAAUCGUAGCGAACCG
Molecule: unclassified non-coding RNA, 3032 nt
Filed under: Hevea brasiliensis (rubber tree)
Lineage: Eukaryota; Viridiplantae; Streptophyta; Magnoliopsida; Malpighiales; Euphorbiaceae
Source: RNAcentral